CUGAAGGAACUGAACUGGAAAAAUCUUGAAGAUACACAUAAACUGUCCUGAGAAAGUUUAUUAAUAAAGUUUCAAGAACCAGCUUCAAAUGAUUACUCUAGGAAUAUACUAUAACCCCUACAUAUCGCUCAGUUAGAUAUUGGGAAGAUAAGAUUAAAAUAAUUACAGCACACACAGAGGCAUUCAAAUGAUUGUUGCAAAUCUAACACACUUGCACGUACACGUAUAACGUCGAAUGAGCCAUGUCACACGACAACGGGUACAAGUUUCUACCUGUAGGCAUUGUUAUUAAUAUGAGACUGAUUGCUUUUCCCAUUCUAUAAUAAUCCAAUAUUUCAAAGCAAUUGAAAUUUUACAAAUGAACACUACUCAUUUAAAAAAAAUUAUUUGAAAACAAAAAUUCUAGUACUGCUGCUAUGGAAAACUGAUAUGCCAGUUUUUUUACCUGGUUAUUAGCAAAAAGUGAAAAAUAUCUGUUAUAAUUGAGACAAAAAAUACCGAUUAUUCAGAACUAAAAUAUUGUUAUUGGUUUUAACUGAUAUGUUUUUCCCCUCCCUAGGUGGAAUUGCUGUGAUGUAGUCAGUGACAUGAAACUACAACAGUGCGAUAAUCCGCUUGCUGAGUUUAACUGCUCCCAUGAGGCCUGUCAAGUGCUAUAACAUCGGUCAUGGACCAUAAAUGGUCUAUGUCGUCGGUAACCUCUGAGCAUGAAGUGAACUCUUAUGUGUCGCAACUCGAACUGCACAAGUUUGCUGUACAAUACCAGUGCUGCAGAGGUCCUGCUGCGCAAUGCCCUUGAACUGUGAACCAGCUUCUCCCAUGUGGACUUUGAUCUGCAGUGUCAUUGAUGUUGAAAGAGACUUUUUUUCUCCUUAGUGGAAUAAUACACCCAGAGAAGUUGAACUCAAUGGAUUUCCUAUAACAUACAAUCCUAACUUUUUGUAAUUAAUUGACUACUUAGGCUUAAAAUCCUGGCUAAAUGUUUGCACGAGUGUGUGUCUCAAGAAACAUGAACAAUUUUUGACAAUAAAAUCUUAACAUCA
This is a long non-coding RNA of Schistocerca serialis cubense, 1043 nucleotides long. RefSeq lists it as uncharacterized. The record is from RefSeq and is a predicted model, not a curated record. Lineage: Eukaryota; Metazoa; Arthropoda; Insecta; Orthoptera; Acrididae. The transcript has 2 exons.